This 497-nucleotide ribosomal RNA is filed under the name uncultured bacterium. RNAcentral describes it as "partial 16S ribosomal RNA". It matches the Rfam family "Bacterial small subunit ribosomal RNA", at positions 28 to 507 of the family's 1533-position model. The record is from RNAcentral.
GACGAACGCUGGCGGCGUGCCUAAUACAUGCAAGUUGAGCGCUGAAGGUUGGUACUUGUACCAACUGGAUGAGCAGCGAACGGGUGAGUAACGCGUGGGGAAUCUGCCUUUGAGCGGGGGACAACAUUUGGAAACGAAUGCUAAUACCGCAUAAAAACUUUAAACACAAGUUUUAAGUUUGAAAGAUGCAAUUGCAUCACUCAAAGAUGAUCCCGCGUUGUAUUAGCUAGUUGGUGAGGUAAAGGCUCACCAAGGCGAUGAUACAUAGCCGACCUGAGAGGGUGAGCGGCCACAUUGGGACUGAGACACGGCCCACACUCCUACGGGAGGCAGCAGUAGGGAAUCUUCGGCAAUGGACGAAAGUCUGACCGAGCAACGCCGCGUGAGUGAAGAAGGUUUUCGGAUCGUAAAACUCUGUUGGUAGAGAAGAACGUUGGUGAGAGUGGAAAGCUCAUCAAGUGACGGUAACUACCCAGAAAGGGACGGCUAACUACGUG